Molecule: ribosomal RNA, 468 nt
Filed under: uncultured bacterium
Lineage: Bacteria
Description: partial 16S ribosomal RNA
Rfam family: Bacterial small subunit ribosomal RNA
Source: RNAcentral
GACGAACGCUGGCGGCGUGCUUAACACAUGCAAGUCGAACGGAAAGGCCCUGCUUUUGUGGGGUGCUCGAGUGGCGAACGGGUGAGUAACACGUGAGUAACCUGCCCUUGACUUUGGGAUAACUUCAGGAAACUGGGGCUAAUACCGGAUAGGAGCUCCUGCUGCAUGGUGGGGGUUGGAAAGUUUCGGCGGUUGGGGAUGGACUCGCGGCUCAUCAGCUUGUUGGUGGGGUAGUGGCUUACCAAGGCUUUGACGGGUAGCCGGACUGGGAGGGUGACCGGCCACAUUGGGACUGAAAUACGGCGCAGACUCCUACGGGAGGCAGCAGUGGGGAAUAUUGCACAAUGGGCGGAAGCCUGAUGCAGCAACGCCGCGUGCGGGAUGACGGCCUUCGGGUUGUAAACCGCUUUCGCCUGUGACGAAGCGUGAGUGACAGAAAUGGGUAAAGAAGCACCGGCUAACUACGUG